RNAcentral lists this ribosomal RNA (242 nucleotides) under uncultured bacterium. Its description in RNAcentral is "partial 16S ribosomal RNA". It matches the Rfam family "Bacterial small subunit ribosomal RNA", at positions 335 to 564 of the family's 1533-position model. The record is from RNAcentral.
ACUCCUACGGGAGGCAGCAGUGGGAAUAUUGGACAAUGGGGGAAACCCUGAUCCAGCCAUGCCGCGUGUGUGAAGAAGGCCUUCGGGUUGUGAAAGCACUUUCAGUUGGGGAGGAAAGGGUUGAAUGGCUUAAUACCUAUCAGCUGUGUACGUUACCCACAGAAGAAGCACCGGCUAACUCCGUGCCAGCAGCCGCGGUAAUACGGAGGGUGCAAGCGUUAAUCGGAAUUACUGGGCGUAAA